Molecule: non-coding RNA, 82 nt
Organism: Podarcis lilfordi (Lilford's wall lizard)
Lineage: Eukaryota; Metazoa; Chordata; Lepidosauria; Squamata; Lacertidae
Source: the annotation of a GenBank genome assembly
UUCCUGCCUUUGUAGCUCAUUUGGCAGAGAAUGAGACUCUUAAUCUCAGGGUCCUGGAUUCAAGUCCCAUGUUGGCUGGAAG